RNAcentral lists this ribosomal RNA (301 nucleotides) under uncultured bacterium. Its description in RNAcentral is "partial 16S ribosomal RNA". It matches the Rfam family "Bacterial small subunit ribosomal RNA", at positions 509 to 807 of the family's 1533-position model. The record is from RNAcentral.
CAGUAGCCACGGUAAUACGUAGGUGGCAAGCGUUGUCCGGAAUUAUUGGGCGUAAAGGGCUCGCAGGCGGUUUCUUAAGUCUGAUGUGAAAGCCCCCGGCUCAACCGGGGAGGGUCAUUGGAAACUGGGAAACUUGAGUGCAGAAGAGGAGAGUGGAAUUCCACGUGUAGCGGUGAAAUGCGUAGAGAUAUGGAGGAACACCAGUGGCGAAGGCGACUCUCUGGUCUGUAACUGACGCUGAGGAGCGAAAGCGUGGGGAGCGAACAGGAUUAGAGACCCCUGUAGUCCCUGUCUCUUAUAC